GCAUGAGUUUGGAUUUAUGGCAAACCUGUUCCCCUGGGUCUCUUAUAGUAUCUCAUGCCAGAGCCAACGUAGCCCCACACCAUUGCCUGGCCACUGUCCGUAGGUUGUUGGCACUGAAAUGUGUUCCACAGUA
Oryctolagus cuniculus (rabbit) is the source of this 133-nucleotide small nucleolar RNA. NCBI's taxonomy places the organism in Eukaryota, Metazoa, Chordata, Mammalia, Lagomorpha, Leporidae. The record is from Ensembl.